GGUUCCAUGGCUCAGCUGGAUAGAGCAACCGCCUUCUAAGCUGUAGGUCAAAGGUUCGAAUCCUUUCGGAAUCA
Molecule: transfer RNA, 74 nt
Filed under: Bacteroidales bacterium
Lineage: Bacteria; Pseudomonadati; Bacteroidota; Bacteroidia; Bacteroidales
Description: tRNA-Arg
Rfam family: tRNA
About the family: Transfer RNA (tRNA) molecules are approximately 80 nucleotides in length.
Source: RNAcentral